This 51-nucleotide ribosomal RNA is filed under the name Photobacterium damselae. Its description in RNAcentral is "partial 23S ribosomal RNA". The record is from RNAcentral. Lineage: Bacteria; Pseudomonadati; Pseudomonadota; Gammaproteobacteria; Vibrionales; Vibrionaceae.
GUUGUAUGGUUAAGUGACUAAGCGUACACGGUGGAUGCCUGGGCAGUCAGA